This 278-nucleotide long non-coding RNA is filed under the name Ananas comosus (pineapple). RNAcentral describes it as "long non-coding RNA (ACOM_LNC039699)". The record is from RNAcentral. Lineage: Eukaryota; Viridiplantae; Streptophyta; Magnoliopsida; Poales; Bromeliaceae.
AGACUCCAUGUCUAAGUCAUAGAGUCUGUAUUAAGGUGUGGAAAAUGUAAUUUUUGUUUAUUGGAUCGAUCAUGCAGAAGAUUGUCGUUUGGUGAUUGCGAUGAUCUUCUUUUUAUUGUUUCUGCGUUGUGUACGAGCUUUGUAGUAUAUUUUAUCACGAAAUCGCCAAAGGGGGAGAUUGUUAAGGAUUUUAUAGGUUUGCGGAUUUCGUAGAGUUGAAUGGAGUCUUGAAGAGUUGAUCGCGGAUGUUUGAAGAAAAGAUUCAAAUUGAAGAACAA